GAGUCCAUGCCAACAAAUGCAGGCAGCAAGGACACAGAUUCUCCCUUAGAGCCUCUGGAAGAAACAUAGUUCUGCCAAUCCACUUCAGAAUACUGACCUCCAGAAAUAUAAGACUAUAAGUGGGUGCUCCUAUAUUUCCCAGGUGCUGAGGACAUAAAGAAGUAUGAGACACAGAUCCUGUUCCACUUGCUGUCCAUUUGGGAGUUGUGUCAGUUAGACUGUUUUCAUUUGCGAGAAUCAGAAAAUUCAAAAUGGCAUAAAAGUAUAUGGCACCUGGGCAAUCCUACUGCUACAUCUGCCCUCCAUGGGGGAGUGUACAGGGUCCAUCUACAGAGUCAAGAGGAGGGUGAGCAUAGACCAGUUGCCCCGCAUCUGCUGCAGGAAGAGAGACCAACUGGCCACAGAAGACUGGUGGCCCCUACUGAAGCAACUUCUCCGAAGUAGUUAUGUAUGGCCACAUGAAACAAAAUCUCAUCAAGGAAAUGCAAGCUGAGUGAUAUAAGCAAUUUCUAUAUGUAACCUUAAAGAGAGUGAUAUGUUUUCAUUCCAUCCCUUCUUCUAACAUUCAUCACCCAGAUGUGACAGGGUUUGUGAAACAAUUUGGUCCUAGGAAUGGUGAAGCAACAACUAAACAACUUUAGACAACUAAAAGACACGAAGGUCCUUGACAUCAUGGAUGGACCAUAUCAACUCUGAACUACUUAUACUAGAUUGUAGCUUAAAAAAUAAAAUCAACUUUAUUUAUUUAA
Molecule: long non-coding RNA, 749 nt
Organism: Canis lupus familiaris (dog)
Lineage: Eukaryota; Metazoa; Chordata; Mammalia; Carnivora; Canidae
Exons: 4
Source: RefSeq, a predicted model, not a curated record